UGCAGAGGACACCCGAGGAUCCCUCGGGUGUAAUGCACACCGACGAUUGUCGUCGGUUCGGUUCCAAGUCCGG
This 73-nucleotide non-coding RNA is filed under the name unclassified sequences. The record is from RNAcentral.